Molecule: ribosomal RNA, 253 nt
Filed under: Agathobaculum desmolans
Lineage: Bacteria; Bacillati; Bacillota; Clostridia; Eubacteriales; Butyricicoccaceae
Description: partial 16S ribosomal RNA
Rfam family: Bacterial small subunit ribosomal RNA
Source: RNAcentral
UACGUAGGGAGCAAGCGUUAUCCGGAUUUACUGGGUGUAAAGGGCGCGCAGGCGGGCCGGCAAGUUGGAAGUGAAAUCUAUGGGCUUAACCCAUAAACUGCUUUCAAAACUGCUGGUCUUGAGUGAUGGAGAGGUAGGCGGAAUUCCGUGUGUAGCGGUGAAAUGCGUAGAUAUACGGAGGAACACCAGUGGCGAAGGCGGCCUGCUGGACAUUAACUGACGCUGAGGCGCGAAAGCGUGGGGAGCAAACAGG